This 478-nucleotide ribosomal RNA is filed under the name uncultured bacterium. RNAcentral describes it as "partial 16S ribosomal RNA". It matches the Rfam family "Bacterial small subunit ribosomal RNA", at positions 28 to 523 of the family's 1533-position model. The record is from RNAcentral.
GACGAACGCUGGCGGCGUGCUUAACACAUGCAAGUCGAACGGUAAGGCCCUUCGGGGUACACGAGUGGCGAACGGGUGAGUAACACGUGGGUGAUCUGCCCUGCACUUCGGGAUAAGCCUGGGAAACUGGGUCUAAUACCGGAUAGGACCACUGCCUGCAUGGGUGGUGGUGGAAAGCUUUUGCGGUGUGGGAUGGGCCCGCGGCCUAUCAGCUUGUUGGGGGGGUGAUGGCCUACCAAGGCGACGACGGGUAGCCGGCCUGAGAGGGUGACCGGCCACACGGGGAGUGAGAUACGGCCCAGACUCCUACGGGAGGCAGCAGUGGGGAAUAUUGCACAAUGGGCGCAAGCCUGAUGCAGCGACGCCGCGUGAGGGAUGACGGCCUUCGGGUUGUAAACCUCUUUCAGCACCGACGAAGCGCAAGUGACGGUAGGUGCAGAAGAAGGACCGGCCAACUACGUGCCAGCAGCCGCCGCAG